RNAcentral lists this ribosomal RNA (459 nucleotides) under uncultured bacterium. Its description in RNAcentral is "partial 16S ribosomal RNA". It matches the Rfam family "Bacterial small subunit ribosomal RNA", at positions 339 to 795 of the family's 1533-position model. The record is from RNAcentral.
CUACGGGAUGCAGCAGUGAGGAAUAUUGGUCAAUGGAGGCAACUCUGAACCAGCCAUGCCGCGUGAAGGAUGACGGCCCUAUGGGUUGUAAACUUCUUUUGAAUAGGAAGAAACUUAUCUACGUGUAGAUAACUGACGGUACUAUUAGAAUAAGGAUCGGCUAACUCCGUGCCAGCAGCCGCGGUAAUACGGAGGAUCCAAGCGUUAUCCGGAUUCAUUGGGUUUAAAGGGUCCGUAGGCGGGUCUUUAAGUCAGUGGUGAAAGCCGACAGCUCAACUGUCGAACUGCCAUUGAUACUGGAGACCUUGAGUACAAAUGAAGUAGGCGGAAUGAGUCAUGUAGCGGUGAAAUGCAUAGAUAUGACUCAGAACACCGAUUGCGAAGGCAGCUUACUAACAUGUAACUGACGCUGAGGGACGAAAGCGUGGGGAGCGAACAGGAUUAGAUACCCUCGUAGUC